Molecule: non-coding RNA, 445 nt
Organism: Notechis scutatus (mainland tiger snake)
Lineage: Eukaryota; Metazoa; Chordata; Lepidosauria; Squamata; Elapidae
Source: RefSeq, a predicted model, not a curated record
CUGGGUGGAAAGUAAAUAUAUCCCAUAACGGGCGGUUGAGAGGUGGUUCCAAAAACAUAACCUUCUAGCUCUCCUACAAAAAGGAAACACAAAAGAAGAAGGAGCUGUGCCCAUUGACUGAUAGCACCUGGUAGCCUCUAAGGUAAAAUUGCUGGCUGCAGCUUCUUGAAGCUCUAGAUAUCUCUAUCCAGAUUGCCCUGGGCAUCAAUCAUCUUGUUCUCUGCCAUGAAGUCCCUCUUAUUCUGUUGCCUCUUUGGCACUUUCUUAGCUACAGGUGAGAAGACAUUGGGAGCAAUUCAAGAACCUUGACUCGGAUAGCAGGACUCCAGGCAGGUCUCGGAGGGUCCACAAAAGGGGCUCAUAAAAGUCAAGAUGGUGCCCACCAUCGUGUAACUGAAACUCCAGCUAUUUUUUUAAGAAAAUUGAAAUGUGUUAGAAUUUUUUU